RNAcentral lists this ribosomal RNA (465 nucleotides) under Rasbora cephalotaenia. RNAcentral's name for it is "partial 16S ribosomal RNA". It matches the Rfam family "Bacterial large subunit ribosomal RNA", at positions 1923 to 2541 of the family's 2925-position model. The record is from RNAcentral. Lineage: Eukaryota; Metazoa; Chordata; Actinopteri; Cypriniformes; Danionidae.
UUUAACGGCCGCGGUAUUUUAACCGUGCAAAGGUAGCGCAAUCACUAGUCCUUUAAAUGGGGACCUGUAUGAAUGGUCAAACGAGGGCUUAACUGUCUCCCUUCUCCAGUCAGUGAAAUUGAUCUACCCGUGCAGAAGCGGGUAUAAUAAUACAAGACGAGAAGACCCUUUGGAGCUUAAGGUACAAGACUCACCCAUGUUAAACAAACUCCAAAAAGUUUUAAAACCCGAUGAAAAAUGAGACUCUACCUUCGGUUGGGGCGACCACGGAGAAAAAAAUAGCCUCCGAGUGGAUUGAAUAAUAUUCAAAACCAAGAUAAACACCUCUAAGUGACAGAACAUCUGACCAAAAAUGACCCGGCAACAAGACCGAUCAACGAACCAAGUUACCCAAGGGAUAACAGCGCAAUCCUCUCCCAGAGCUCAUAUCGACGAGAGGGUUUACGACCUCGAUGUUGGAUCAGG